GGGGCCAGGCUCUGGCCGCCUGCCGCGCGCCCACGCCGCGCCGGGGUGCCGCCGCCGAGCUGCGCAGGACCGCCGUGCACGCGCCGUCGCGCACGCGCAGAGCAGGAAGCCAUCCAGAGGCGGCAACGCGACGGCCGACGGACCGCAGCGACCACCGAGGCACCGACCGGCGACCAGGCAGCGGGCAUCGUCCUCGUACAAAGCCAGUGAAGUGAACCAAGGUCUGAACUUUGGGCUGUCUUGCACCAUUUGAAAUUUUGAAUACCCACCUCUCAAAUCAACCCGCCCCUGCCAUGGAGGAUGCCCUCGCUGCAUCUCCCGUGGUGCCUCCUCCUGCCCCCCUCGCCGCCGCUGCCGUCCUAACUCGCCGGCGGUCGCACCUCGACAGUGCCUCCUACCGCACGCUCUCCCGCCUCUUCUCCCACCGCCUCCACCUCCAGCCUUCUUCCCGAGUGGGCACUGCACCGAUCGAGGGCGAGCCCGCCGUCGCGAACCCUACCGGCGGGCACUCCGGUGAUUCUGCACAGGUGCCUGAAGGCGCCGAUUUUGAUUGGCUGAAGGAUGUGGAGAAAGAGGUGGCUGAUGCGGGAGGCCCUUCACUCCACGAGACCGUCUCACUAGCGAGGGAGCAACUGGCCACGGCGAACCCUACAGGUGACCCUUGUGAGGCUGAGGCUCCGCAACACUCACAUGAUGAUGUGGAUGAGGUAGUUGCUGUAGAAAGCACCUGUGGUAACACCGGCGCCGUGAUUGAGGAGUUAAAGAUUGGAGCUGGAACGCUGGUGGUGGAGGACGAUGCUCUGAAGUUGGUGAAGGCUUGCUUGGAGACUACUGAGGUUGACGAAUCAGUAGAUGGAGCAUUGGGUAAUGACGAUGGGCAGCUGCUGCUUGACGCGAUGAUGACCAACUUCACUGGGCUGAUUGAUGAUGUUGGUGCUGGCGUGAUACCAGUGCAGACUUGUGUGGUUUCUGGAGGUGAGCUGCAGAAUAGUAAAGCAUCUGAGGAUUUGAAACAAUCAGGAGGUGGGAUUGAAGAUGGAGAACCUGUGAACAAUUUAGAUCGUGAACUGAAUGAAGAUGGUGGUUUCGAGGAAGGAGAGAUUGAUGGUGAGUUUCAGGAUUUGGAUUCAGAAGAAUCUGGAGAUUCUGAGCUUGUUGAUGAUGAUAAUGCUGAAGAUGAGAAAUUGGGAGGUGAUUCCGUUAGCAGGGGCUCAGGGGCCUGUGACCAUGGCAUACAGUCUGUAAAUUUGCACCCGAAACCUGAAAUUGUAGGAAAUGGUCAUCUUACACUGAACAAGGAUGCUAAUUUCAGGGGUGAUGAACAAAUAUCUGUUACUAGGGCUCAAGCUGUCAGUUAUGAUGAAGUUGUGGAUUGGAAUGAGACGCCGCUGCCUGGCAAUGAGGCUACCAACCCUGGAAAGAAGAGAAAACGCUCUUUGACAGAAGAGAGGAAGGCUAAAAAGACAGAAAAUAAAAGAAAGAAGCGGGCAAAGCAACGGAUAGCUGAUGGAGUAAAAAGACCAAAACUUCAACAUGUUACAAAGCCAAAAAAACCUUGCCACUUCUAUGACCAUGGGAAGUGCCAGCAGGGAAGUAAGUGCAAGUUCUCCCAUGAUUUUACACCAUCAACAAAAUCUAAGCCCUGCAAGCAUUUUGCUUGUGGUUCUUGUUUGAAAGGAGAUGAUUGUCCAUAUGAUCAUGAGUUGUCAAAGUAUGAAUGCCAUAACUAUAAGAACAAUGGCAUGUGCAUCAGAGGUGAUAGAUGCAAAUUCUCUCAUGUGAUGCGAACUACGGAAGGUACUCCCACACAAGAUGCAAAGCCAUCUGAUGCUUCACUGGCAUAUGAGAAAACCAACCGCAGAGAGCAUACAAGCAGCCAGAAAACCUCAACAGUUCACAGUGGUGAACCUGUGACCUCUGCUUCUACCAAACAACAGUGUUCCAUCCUGAAAAAUCUGUCUGGCUUCUCUAUCAAUUCUCAAAAUGUGUCUAAUCGUAUUCCAAAGGGUGUGCAGUUUCUUCCGUUUGGUAAAAGUGGAUCAAAUUCGAGCAGCCCGCACCUGGAUGCUUUGUCCAUUGAGAAGCCUAGGAAUGCUAAUGCCACUCAACAUCAGUACAUUGGAGGACAUGAAGCAGAGAAGCAAAAAAAUGCCAAGAAAAAUGAUCAGGAAUCACUGCUAGAUGAGAAGAAUUCAUCAAAGGAAGCUACCAUGCUUCCAUUUUCAGACCUGAAAAAAGCUAGUUUACCUAUUAAUUCUGCUGCAACAUCAGUACAUACUCAGCCGGAAAUCUCCGAGGCCUCUAGGAUUUUUCAGGAGUUCUUGUUUGGUGCUGGCAGUUAGUGUAAGAGAGCUUUGGCACAGAAACCUGACAUGAUUCCUUUGUUUAGAUGUCAUGGAAAAGUUGUGAACUCCAAUUCACGAGGUAGCGCAAUGGGACUUGAUGUGUCAUAUUUUGGUUCCUAACAGGGACUGUUUUGUGAGGCACCUCUCCUGUCAGGGAGCCCAGAUUCCUCCAUGCAAGAGCUUUACGUCGGUUGCCACAUGAGAAUGGCAGGCAGCUACCAGGGCUGCCAAUUAGUCUUGGAUCAUCAUCAUGAUUCCCAGCACAUCUGUGGCAGAAUUAUGGGUCCUUUGGUGGCGACCAACAUUAGCCUGGUGCAAUGCAUGGUCUGGAGUUGCAUUCAUGCGGUACUCCAGGGGAUCUCUGAUCCUGUCUCUUGUGUUCAGAAUUACUUGUGAACUAGCUGGAGACUGUGGUACACCACGGCAGAUGCUGGAGGGGCCCAGGUAUGAGCUGGACUGUGGCUGUUGCUUAGUCUCAAAUCCGGUUCGGGCAUGUCCGGUGCCUACUUGCUGUCGACAUCUCUGCUGAUGUUUCAUCGAUUCAGAAUUACAUUCACAUGGUCACUGAGAGGGCUCACAUGCUGAUUCAUCACUGCAGCUUGCCAUGCAAGCAGGCAUGUGAGCUGUCCCUCUACUCCUGCUGGGCGUGCUGCCACAUGAACAGUUGGGUCUGUUCUGCGGAUCGUAUGAUCUAUGAUGGUGUCAUUUCUCUCUGGGAACGAGUUGCCAUCAUAAGUAAAUCCGCAUCUUGAGUUCUGUUUUUAUGUUGCUGCCUCGUGCGCAUGGAAGGAGCGGUUUAGGUGUACCAAUAAUUGGCACUUGAUCUGUUACCAAGAAUCUGAGCUGAGGUAAGCCAUGGUAUGUUACCUUGAUGGAAGAGAAUUACUAUCUCCUCCUGAAAGCAACUGACUCGGCAUCAUGGUUUGGGCGACUUGUGCAGCUGAACAUGUGUCCUUGUUUCGUGGAUGAGCUGAUUCACGUGUCGAUGAGGCAGUGAGAUCCUCGUCUCUGAGAAAGUGAGGGCAGCUACUCUGUUUCCUUCCCUGGCUACUUGGUGAAGAAUUCUCGUUUACAAGUUUGUGAAGGAGCCCUUUUCUGUCACCUUCAAACACGCCGGAGAAGCUCAGCUCAGCUCAUCUGCGGCUGUUGCACACACGCAUCCAGCUCCGAAACAAAAUGUUUCCAUAUGUAGCUAUGAAGUGUUGCUCCACUAGAAUUUCGAGCCGAAACAAAGCUAGCUGCCUCCAAAAUUUCAUCAUAUUUGACAGUUACCCUCUUUUUGAUCCUAUACGCAGCCAACAGUUGAGGCAGGGUCGAUCGUCUUGUCUGUGUUCCUUUUCCUUUCUCUCUCUCACAGUUGAGGCAGGGUCGAUCGUCUUGUGUGUGUUCCUUUUCCUUUCUCUCUCUCCAGUCAACAGUCGACCGAUAGGUUGGUAGACGAGAGCACAUGCUCUGGCUGCGUUUUUUCCACAGCCGCAAAGUGAGCAGAAUGCCAUGCUUACCUGCCACUUCUCCAAUGACCUUAGCCUGACAGUGCGUUCCGUUCACCCUAUCUCAACCUGAACUUGCUGCUUGACGCCGUUUUGUUCCUUGUCUGUUCUCGUGUUCGCACUGGACUUGUAUUCCUCACACCCCUCUCGAUCUGCUAACUGGAAAACUCCUGCAUUCUUUCUGCUCUCGAUCUGCUAACUGGAAAACUCCUGCAUUCCUUCUGCUAAUGUCCGGCCUCUGAAUUCAGAUUCAGCUUGAGCAGCUGCUUCCUGGGACGCCUCUGCUCCAGUUGAAUCCGUAACAGGAUGGCUCCUGUAUGUAUUGUGUACUCCACUGUUCCUUAGCUGUUGUGCUUUGACUGCUCAGACUGAAUCCAUUUUGGCCGUUGCUAGACAAUAAGCCCUUGUUCAUGACUUUACGUCUCUUUCCCAGCCUUGUCAGACAGCAGCAAUAACAAGUACAGUUGAUGCUCAACUAAAGGUUUUCAUCGAGUGUUUGAGCAACGAUCAGCAGCUGGUUAAUCUCCAUCGGUCCUUUUCUUUAGAUCAAUUAAUCUCCACCGGUUGCGGCUUAUCAAUAAGGAGCAGGAAUAAUUGGGGGCUAGUUAUGGAGCUCGAGACCUCCAGACCUUUGGGCCUUUUCAUUGCCAUGUAGCUCGUGCUGUGGUGUCCAGUGCGUCCCUUUCCUGAUCCUGUAUUUGGUGAAGACACAAUGGCAUCAUGGCUUUCUUGAUCCUACCAAAACUCGUUUUUUUUUCUUGGGGGCAAAGCUUGCAGGUAAGGUACCUGUCAGGCCUUCUGUUACUGCAGCUUCGGUCAAGAUCAGGAACGGAGGCCUAUCACCAAAGAAUCCCCAGAACACGAUGUCGACCGAGGCGACUACGACGAUCCUUGAACCCUGGAUUGUGCCUUGUCCUCAUGCUCAUCAUAUAUCAUCUCACAAUCUACGCAAACACUCGGCCGCUUCUCCUCACCAAGGGAUUAACAUGCUGCACACCCUUUUUUUCCUCAUGAUCUUUCUGUCCAAUCUUGUACGAGAUAGCUAACUAACUUACCAAUUUUGUAUUUCAGCAGGUCUGUUUCCUUUUGUUUCGACGACGACAAAAUGUGCAAUUCAUCGUUCAGGGGAGCGUGUGCUUGCGCUGUCGAUCAGAUUAUAUUCCAGCUUUCAUGGCUCAUGUUGCCUGAACCCCUGAGCUUCCUUCUCCCAAUUGGUCGACUUCCAGCUCUCUGGUUCAAAAACUACGUCUGCGAGAGUGGGGUAGACCUGUCCUUCUCAUGACAGUAUGACACGGACAUCGCCUAUAUUCGGGCUCAUAAUUCGCUCCUUGACCGCCUUUUUAAAAAAAAUCAUAGAUGAUUAGAAUUUGAGUGCAUUGAUGCUGAUAUAUAUGGCCCUACCUGCAAAUAGAAAUCACAGUAUCUACUAUGAGCAGCUCUUGCUUCAUGGAGACAGCUAGCAUGCAAAACUGUGUGCAUUGACUGCUGAAAUGCAGUUGUGUUUUGCUCGUAUGAUGCUGCACCCAAAAAAAAAAACAAGGAUGAAGUAUACUCCUCCUACCUUUGCUGCUGAGUGCUGACUGGCUGCUGGCACACGAUGCCAAACUAUCUGCUAAUCAUUGAUGGUGUUGUUGCUCAUGUGGAUAUUCUUUUUGGUCUUGUUAUGUUGGGAAAAAGGCUGGAUCUAAUCUUCCUCUGGAUCGACGCUGAAGAGCUGCCGCGAUGUGUCAAUGAUGUGCUGAGAAAAGGCAGACCAGCAAGUCGCGUAGUGGAUGAGUGCCUUUUGCAGCCCAAAAGGACCGAAGCUAAAGAGACACGGGGUGAAUAGAUACAUGUGCUUGGUAUUGGUAUUGGUAUCGUCAGUUCUGACAAUAAUUGGAAACUCAGUCGGCACCUUCUGAACAGCUAGCGUGUCCGUUUUCAGCUCCCGAUUCAAAAUUUGAUAGGUGCAAGUAAGUAUGGUUUGCCGUAAUUAUACCCAGGAGUAGUGGAGAUGGAUUCCUUUUCUUUUGUAAAGUACUCAGAGUUGGAAAUAGAUGGUUCUCGUACCGUGAUUCAACUA
Panicum virgatum (switchgrass) is the source of this 5897-nucleotide RNA transcript. It is a transcript of the gene named zinc finger CCCH domain-containing protein 7-like, with no coding region annotated. The transcript has 10 exons. The record is from RefSeq and is a predicted model, not a curated record. Lineage: Eukaryota; Viridiplantae; Streptophyta; Magnoliopsida; Poales; Poaceae.